GAUAUCCUGCCAUCUAUCUACUUGUUAUGGAUUCUUGUUUUGUUUCUUAGCCUCAUUUGGAAUUGUUUUGGAAGUCAUCUGUUUUCCUAGCUCGAUCUCUGUUUUGAUAAUCGUUAGUAUGACUUAUGAGUCUUCACUAAAAAGAAAUCCUAGUUUCUAGUUGCUUGGUCCAAGUCUUUGUAUGAUGGCAUAAAGUGGUUAUAUAUUUGUGUUUAUCUUGCAUUGUUUAGGUAGUGAAAUACACAUACAUAGCAUUAUUGGACGUUUUCAUGAUCAUGCUUAUCAUUGGUUCGAGAUUAGUUUUGGCCAUUUUCUAGGUUGGAUUGCCA
This 329-nucleotide unclassified non-coding RNA is filed under the name Hevea brasiliensis (rubber tree). The record is from RNAcentral. Lineage: Eukaryota; Viridiplantae; Streptophyta; Magnoliopsida; Malpighiales; Euphorbiaceae.